This 183-nucleotide unclassified non-coding RNA is filed under the name uncultured Chalara. Its description in RNAcentral is "sequence contains ITS2". The record is from RNAcentral. Lineage: Eukaryota; Fungi; Ascomycota; Leotiomycetes; Helotiales.
CACCAUUCAAACUCUUAGUUUUUUGACUUAGUGGUUUGGUUUUGGAAGUAGAUUUAAUCACUUAAAUCUCUUUUGUAAUGCAUUGACGAGUACCUAUUGUCUUAGUUGUCGCAAAACUUUUGUCAACUUCAAGAUAACAGAUACAAUCGUGUCUCCUUUUAUCUGUCUUCAAGACUCUCAAAA